GACGAACGCUGGCGGCGUGCUUAACACAUGCAAGUCGAACGGAAAGGCCCGGCUUUUGUGGGGUGCUCGAGUGGCGAACGGGUGAGUAACACGUGAGUAACCUGCCCCUGACUUUGGGAUAACUUCAGGAAACUGGGGCUAAUACCGGAUAGGAGCUCCUGCUGCAUGGUGGGGGUUGGAAAGUUUCGGCGGUUGGGGAUGGACUCGCGGCUUAUCAGCUUGUUGGUGGGGUAGUGGCUGACCAAGGCUGUGACGGGUAGCCGGCCUGAGAGGGUGGCCGGCCACAUUGGGACUGAGGUACGGCGCAGACUCCUACGGGAGGCAGCAGUGGAGAGUAUUGCACAAUGGGCGGAAGCCUGAUGCAGCAACGCCGCGUGCGGGAUGACGGCCUUCGGGUUAUAAACCGCUUUCGCCUGUGACGAAGCGUGAGUGACGGUAAUGGGUAAAGAAGCACCGGCUAACUACGUG
RNAcentral lists this ribosomal RNA (468 nucleotides) under uncultured bacterium. Its description in RNAcentral is "partial 16S ribosomal RNA". It matches the Rfam family "Bacterial small subunit ribosomal RNA", at positions 28 to 507 of the family's 1533-position model. The record is from RNAcentral.